RNAcentral lists this long non-coding RNA (43893 nucleotides) under Sorghum bicolor (sorghum). RNAcentral describes it as "long non-coding RNA (SBIC_LNC002631)". The record is from RNAcentral. Lineage: Eukaryota; Viridiplantae; Streptophyta; Magnoliopsida; Poales; Poaceae.
GUGGUUUCUGGAGUCUUCUAGAUGAUGUAAAAUUACGCGGUGCGUUGAUAUCUCUAUGUAAUCCUGACAUGUGGGCCUUUCUUCCUUAUUUCCUGAUAACCCCCUGCAGAAAUAGAUAAACAACAAUACUCGUGGAAUUCUGUCAGAUCAAACCCUAAUUCUAGGUGAUGGUUGCAUAUUGGUCCUUUCUCUUGUUUAUUUGAUAAUUAAAAUUGAUACUUAAGAACCGUCAACACUGCCGGAAAUACUGACUACGCCACCCAACGAACCUCAGGACGAUUAAGAAAUUGGAGAGUCCCGUUCGGAGGACUUAAAAACACCGAACGCCUUGCCAAGAGGUAAACUUGGUAGUUACCCUUUCCUUUUCAAUUAUUUCAAAUAAUUUAUUUAGUUAAUCAUGUUCACACUAUCUUAAAAAGAAAAUAAAAAUAUGAAAAACAGUAAGCCCCAUGUGAGUAUACGAGUGGCAUAAAACCCAUAAGUACAUUCACUGUGGUGGCAUAAAAAUAAAAUAAAUAUUUUUAUGCUUUAUAAAAAUAAAAAUAUAUAAAAACAGGGAGUAACAAUUAUUAAGGAGUCUCAAGAUGAUAAAGACUAGAUAUUUAUGCUAACACUUAAUCAGUUCCACAAGCUUUGUUGUCUAUUUGAGCUCUACAGAAUUUAAGAAUCAAGAAGACUAGCAGAAGGAGGACAUUCUAAUCGCUGUCAGAAUGCUGCUGACUUUCAAAUACACCUCUGCCGCCUGCUAGCUACAUCAAGAGAAAUUACGUCAAAAUUCAGCUUGGGGGAGAGCACCCCCAUUUACCUCGAUAAGUAUUUCUAUCUAUCUUUAUACUUAUAUUAUUUUAGAAUAUUAAAAUACACAUAAACUAUGGGAAAACCAAAUAAAGAUUUUAUGCUUAUAUAUAUAUGUCUUUUGCUUAGUGUGUUUAAUAAAUAAAUAAAGUGGCUAUGCUAAUCUGUAUCUAAAUAAAACUUAAGCAUGGAUAUGAUGAAAAGUUGCUCUGCCUAAUUUACAAAUUUUAAGUUCUCUCUCAAGUUUAGAUAUAACUGUUAUAAUUUAAAGCUUGCUCUAGAUCUAAACUUGUGGGAUAAAAACUUGAUCUGAAGUCUAAGUUUUUAACGGAUACGAUAUGGGAAGGCUGAGCUGCUGUUUAUCUGUUCCUAGAGAUGCUAGAAUUCUGGAGAAUUUUAUCUUUGAAAAUCUUUAAAAUGUUGCAUGAUGAGUUCCUGUAUGAUGAGAGCUUAAAAUUCCUACCACAGCCAUAUAUACAUGCUUGCUAGACUUUGAGCCACACAUUUAUUAUUUACUGCUUAUGAGCAUUGAGUGUGGUCAAGCUGUGUAGACCCUUAGGAGCUUGUCAUGUGGUUAAAUCAAGAUUUCACUUGCACGUUCACUCAUAUAUGCUACUUCUAUUCCGGAAGUACCAUCCACAUAUAUCCACCCAUUCCAUCUCCAGAACCACCUAAAAAUAUUCUGCUCCUAAUCCGGGAGAGAAUAACCAAAAAUAUUUCUGUUUUUCCCUUGUGAAAUAAAUGCUCAAGUUAUCUUGUUACUACCACUUGCUAUAUUAUCUCAUGAGAUGAAUGCUCAAUAUUAAAAAAUAAUAAUAAUAAUAAUACGAGGAAAUAAAAAGGAGCAAGUGCUCGGAACCUCGAAAGAAAAGAAAAAGUGAGACGAGAGGUAAAAAUGGACAAGUGUCCGACAGUAGAAUUAGGGGUGCAAGAUACCCACCUGAGAGAAAAGAAAAAGAAGAGCAUCUCAUUCUCCUCAUAAAGUUUCAAAAGCAAGGAAGGUAUGUAUCCCCUCAAAAGAGCAAAGUAGAAUUAGACUUCCACCACCAUUCAUUCGCCACACAUGCACAUCUUGAUUUGGCUUAUUGACUUGUUACUUUGGAUCCAUGGUUUGACUAUGCAAUAAAUGUCUUGUAAGUAUGUAUAUUUUAUCUCCCACCUAUGAGCUCCAGAUAUUAAAGCCUUAUUAGAGUAGGGUGAGAGAGAAGACAAUGUCACUAUGCCUCAUACCACAAAUACCACAUAUCUUGAGAGAAGGCAUAUACCAUCAAUGCCUUGGUAAGGAUCCAAAAAUACCACAAAAGAGAGACCUGAGAGAAUCAUACAAGGAAUCUCUGAGUUUUAUUUGAAAAUCUGCAAAAAUCCCAGAGCUAUAGCUGAACAAGAAUAAGAGACAUGGCACUUGGCUAGACUGUUCUAUCUUUUAACCACUCAAGACAGAAGUGACAGUUACAAGUCCCAUGGUGAAGGUAAAGUAAGUUUUAAGUCUUGACAGUUUACUCUAACUCAGAGAUGAGAUCUUAUUUAAAAGCAUGUGUACCAUCAAAUUUUUAAAUAUAUUGCAACAACUUAUGAUCCAUAGCUGAGUCUAUCCUUGCUCAGGGACGAGCAAGAGGUAAGCUUGGGGGAGUUUGUUGACGGUCCUUAAGUAUCAAAUUUAAUUAUCAAAUAAAUAAAGAAAAGGAUCCAAAUGAAAUCAAGAUCUAGACUUAGGGUUUUAUCUGACAGAAUUCCACGAGUUUUGGUGUUUGUCUAUUUCUGUAGGGGGUUAUCAGGAAAUAUGGAAGAAAGGCCCACAUGUCAGGAUUACGUAAAGAUAUUAACGUGCUGCGCAAUUAUCUUACAUCUCGAAGACUCCAGAAGCCACGAGACCGAAGCGGAGGCGAAACGGGGCCAGAGGCAGGGCGCCCGCCCUGUCCUACUGGGCGCCCGCCCCCUGUCUAAGUCCAAUCAGGACUCUGCUUUGCGGGAAGUCUCCACCGACCUAAAGGAUGAAUCUAAACCAUACAAUCUAUGUCGGUUUGAUCCAAGGGCCCAUAUUCACUUGAAGGGACUAUAAAACCAGACCCCCUGGCACCUGGAGGAGAGAGCCUCUUGUUGACGGUCCUUAAUGCUCACAUUUAACCAUCAACUAAUCAUAGAAAAGGAUCCAAAUGCAACCAACACCUAGACUUAGGGUUUUAUCUGACAGAAUUCCACGAGUUUUUGUGUUUGUCUAUUUCUGCAUGGGGUUAUCAGGAAAUAAGGAAGAAAGGCCCACACGUCGGGUUUACAUAGAGAUAUUAACAUACCGCACAAUUUUCUAUCAUCUAGAAGACUCCAGAAGCCACGGGACCGAACGGGAAGGCAAUCGGGCUCGGAGGCAGGGCGCCCGCCCAGCUACAGUGCCCAAUCAGGACACGUUUCGCGGACAAUGCUCCACCGACCUAAUACUUCAAGGAAAACCACACGAUCAAUGUCGGUUUGAUCCGACGGCCUAGAUUCACUUGAAGGGACUAUAAAACCAGACCCCCUGGCCCCUGGAGAUCAUACCUCUUCUACAGAAUCAAAGUUAGGGUUUCAAUUCUUCAUCCAAGUAGAGAGGAUCCCUCUAGUUCUUCUAGUUCUACCUCUAGUUCAUCUAGAUCUAGUUCUAGUUCAUCUAGUUCUAGUUCUAGUUCCUCUAGUUCUAGUUCUAGUUAGUUCUAGUUGUAAUCUAGAAAAUAGGGAGAGAGAAGAGGAGAGCGGAGGAGGAGCCAGAUCUGUCGGAUCUUCCUCAACAUUAUACUUUUGCAGCAUCUGGUUCAUUCUUCAUCGUUCUCCAGGUUCUUCAACUCAUAACUCCUGAGUUCUCGAAUUACUUUUAUUUACAUUCAAGUUAUUUAUUGGAUUCCCGCUUGCAUCAAGUGCUCUAGUCAUUGAAACAUUAGAGUAGUAAUUAAUAGAUUAAACGUGGUGUUUAGUCUUGCGAUUACCUGGAAUUGCACCCAAUCCUGCGGAUUGUUGUGGUAGCCUUAGGGUAGUGACAGCCCUAACGGUCGACGUAUUCCACCUCGUUCGGAUCGGUGUUUGUAGGACCGUAGUCGGAGCUUCCUAGCCCCCUUCUCAUCUCUUUCUGUGGUUAGUGUUCUGAUGUCCCGAAAUAGAUAAUCUUGAAGUAAUUCUUGAUUCUUAGAUCAUCUAGAGAACUCUCAGGAAACUUCCUCUCUUCCCACCAAAAAUAAUUAUAUAGUUAUCCUUGGGCGAUCUUGGAUCUUAAUUAGUACACUCACGUUCUCUGUGGAAAAUCGAUACUCUGGAAUACUCCCGGGUGAAAGCUACAUCGGUAUCCGUGCGCUUGCGGAUUUUUCUGUUUGCGUUUAAAAUACCCAACAAGCUUUCUGGCGCCGUUGCCGGGGAACGGUAGCUGUGCUAGUUUUGAACUAAGUCGUCCGUGUAUCCUUUUUCUUUUCCUUUUUUACCACACUCACCUUAUCACUUUCACCAUACCACAUGGAUUUCACUCUAAGCAUUAAUGAGCAUGGAAUUUGUUUCAUAGCCACUUCAUUUGCUCCAUGCUCAUAAGCAACAUCUUCACAAUCCAUUGGUCUCUCCAACAUCACCACAUUCGAGAUCUCCAACCCCCACUUCCUUUCUAUUUAUAAAAACUUUAAAAGGGCGGUUGUCGAUGCAUAUGUCUAUAAUAAAUUUUGCAGAUCUCGUUGAGUUGAUCUUGAUAUAGGUCAGCGUUGGAGGGGAAACCACUUCGCUGACAUAAAUUGAUGGUUUCCCAAGGACAAGCUUAGUGUCCUCAAACAAGCACUGAUCAGAUUGUAACAUGAGCUUUUAAUUAUUUGCAACAUUAACUUGUGUAUUGAGCAUAUAAGGAUAAUUGUAAAAAAAUUCCUUCGGGUAUUCUUGUCACUAACCUUUCCAGGAUUGGAGCAAGAAGAUCGGAUGAAUGACAAGCACAAGGUAUGUCCAACCAAUCAUCAUACAACAUUGAAUUAAAUUCAUCCAAACUUGAAUUUUGCAAAAUUCAAGCUUGGGGGAGUACUUUAUACAAAAACAUCAUUUGCCAUGUUGCUAUGUUGGUUAUCCCUACCCUGAGACAUGCUCAAUUUGUUAAAUAGUAAUCACACUACUUCAUCUCCACUUGAGUAAAUCUCUAUAAAAGCCAUCACGCUACCUUUGUUUAUCCUAGUAAGUGUUAGUUUGGAAGUACUGUACAUACUUCUAUUGGUUUUUAAAUUAAGCAUGGUGCUUAGGUUAAACAGCCUUCCUUAAUCUAAUUAGACAUGGAGUCUAGUUUGGUUAUUGAACUAAAAACCGCUUGUGUAGACAUUGGUAUAUUUUGUUGGACUAACCCCUGCAGGAAAACAUUCAAUAUCGACCUGGGAAGUCCUGAGACAAACUCACAUUGGAGACAAAGAGAGAGACACAUGAAGUUUAACAAUCUACACAAGGAAGGCAUAGCUCACAAGAGAUGAUCCAUGGACGGUGCCACAAACACGAUGCACAACCACUAAGAAAGGAAAGCUUCCACAAGGUAAUACUGUACCAUCACUCUUCAAGUAAGGUAACAUCUUAAGGUACUUGACUAUCACUUCUAUAAGCUUUUUCUUGGUUCUGGCAUUCACAUGAAUAAAAGAGACAAACAUCUAUGAUCUACAACUCUAGAUUAACCAACCCAAUCGAUUCAACAUGUUUAGUCCUUCCACCUUUGUGAUUCCACACUCCUAAUCAUAUAAGCUAAAAUGUUGCACACUCAAUCUUUGGAAGAUAUAAACAAAACAUAUAGAUAGAUUAUCUUUCCAUAAGGUUGAGCAAUCUAAUCUGACAAAUGUUAAAUGCUACACUCAUGAUCUUAUUAUCCAUCAACUUUGUCUUGCUCACUAUGCUUAAGGUUAGAGAGAACAAAUACACUUUUGGUUCUGUUGGUGUUUUCCACCAACAGAGCCCAUGCACUUGAUCUCUGCCUUGUCUCUAUGAGCAGGUACACUUCGAGCAAAAUAUGAAGGACUUUUAUAACUCCCAGACUCCACCAAGUGAAGAACCUAGAUCUACGAGCACAAACACACUAGAGAUACUGGACACUCAGGCAAUCACUGCCCUGAGAUGCUUGAGGAUGUAACUACUGGAGUAACCCUGUUGUGGAAGUAAUUACUGACCUUCUGUCGGUUAAGAGAUACAAUCCAGGACGUCCCGUCAUCCCGAUCUCCAUUGGCAUGGUGGACUUCCCAGAAGCACUCUGCGACUUUGGCUCCAGCGUCAACAUUAUGCCCAGGGUACUCUAAGAAAAAUUCUUUACACAUCCUUUAUCAGAAACAACCAUGGGUUUGCAGCUUGCAGACUGUACACUAAGUUUCCCAAAAGGAAUAUUGAAGAACCUCUGUAUACGAGUUGGUACCUUGUACGCCCCAGCAGACUUCGUGGUGAUAGAGACUGGUACUGAUGAGAGGGCACCCAUCAUCCUAGGGAGGCCAUUCCUGAACACAUCGGGAGCUGUCAUCUACGCUAGUGCUGCCAAGAUUAGUUUCUACAUCAAAGGGAGAAAUGAGACGUUUUCCUUCAAGAACAAGACUACACAAAUCCCAGAGCAAUCUCGACAUGAACCAAGGAAGAGGACCAACAGGAGGAACAAGAACAAGCAAAUGUGUACCGAGUCAGCUAAGAUGGUCACUGCAGCUCAAGGAGAUCAAGAUCGUCAACUCAAGUCACCUUUCUUAAUCAAGAAGGACGACCCUGGUAUUCCAAGCAUCGAGUGCACAAUCAACGGAUAUUCUUUUCAGAAGACACUCUACGACACCGGAUCUAACGUCAACAUAAUGGCCGCAGUCACUUAUCAGCUCUUGCAUGGAACCAUGUCCCUACAACCAACAUACAUUCAGCUCCAGAUGAUUUUAAGGUUAUGGACAUGGGCGAAGACAAGUAUAAUCCACCCAUCAUCCUUGGAAGACCGUUCCUCAGCACUGUUAAAGCAAUCAUUUACAUUGGAACCGGAGAAGUCCACAUGCACUUCCCCUCUGAGAAGGUACGCCGCUAUUGUACUGACCCUAACUAUAUAGUUGAAGACUCUAAGUAGGUCAGGACAAGAAGGAGACGACGCAACCGCAACCAGAGAAGGUAAAAUCAUCAAGGACGGAUGGGUAGACUAUGAAGGAGAAGUUGUAAGGUCUAAAGACAUACAACUUGAACGGAACUGUCCUGAGGAGACCGUAGCACCGAGUCAUGUGUGGAGAGAGAAGAUAGUUAUACACGAAGAGCAGGCACCGCCAGAACCACCGACUACGCUAUCCAGCGAAUUCCAGGAUGAUUGAGAAAACGGAGAGUCCCGUUCGGAGGACGUAAAAACACCGAACGCCUUGCCAAGAGGUAAACUUGGUAGUUAUCUUUUUCCUUUCAAUUAUUUUAGUUAAUCAGGUUCAUAUCAUCUUGAAAAGAAAAUAAAAAUGUUAAGUAAGCCCCAUGUGAGUAUGCUCAUGGCAUAAAACCCAUAAGUACAUUCACUGUGGUGGCAUAAAAAUAAAAUAAAUAUAUUCCUGUCCUAUAAAAAUAAAAUUAUAAAAAUAGAUUUAUGAUCCUACCAAAGAGAGUAACAUUUAUUGAGGAGGCUCAACAUGAUAAAGGCUAGAUAUUUAUACUAACACUUAACCAGUUCCACAAAGCUUUGUUGUCUAUUUGAGCUCCACAGAAUUCAAGGAUCAAAGAAGACUAGCAGACGGAGGACAUCCUAAUCGCUGUCAGAGUGCUACCGACAUUCAAAUACACCUCCGCCACCUACUAGCUACAUCAAAAGGAAUUAUGUCAAAAUCCAGCUUGGGGGAGAGCACCCCCAUUUAUCCAGCUAAGUAUUCUACUCACGUUUAUAUUUUACUCAAAUAAUAAAAAGAUGCAUAUUCAUAAAAACCCAAAUAAAGAUUUUAUGCUUAUAUAUAUCUUUGCUUAGUUUGAUAAAUAAAUAAAUAAAUAGAGUUUGCUAUGAACCCUCAUGAUAAGCUUUCACAUGGAAAUGAUGAAUAGUUGCUCUGCCAUGACUAGUUCUAAAAAUUGAAAUCUCUCUUAAGUUUAGGCAUGACUGUUAUUAAUUAAGAUUUGCUCUAAACCUGAACUUGUGGGGAGAGUACUUGAUCUAAAGUCUAAGUCGUUAACGGAUACGAUAUGGGAAGGUUGAGCUGCUGUUUAUCUGUUCCUAGAGAUGCUAGAAUUCUGGAGAAUUUUAUCUUUGAAAAUCUUUAAAAUGUUGCAUGAUGAGUUUCUGUAUGAUGAGAGUUUAAAUUCCUACCACAGCCAUAUAUACAUGCUUGUUAGACUAUGAACCACACAUUUACUUUUUACUGCUUAUGAGCAUUGAGUGUGGUCAAGCUGUGUAGACCCUUAGGAGCUUGUCAUGUGGUUAAAUCAAGAUUCACUUGCACGUUCACUCACACAUGCUACUUCUACUCCAGAAGUACCAUCCACAUAUAUCUAUCCAUUUCCAUCUCCAGAGCCACCUAAAAAUAUUCUACUCCUAAUCCGGGAGAGAAUAGCCAAAAACAUUUAUGUUUUUCCCCUGUGAAAUAAAUGCUCAAGUUAUCUUGGUUACUACCACUUGCUAUAUUAUUUCAGGAGAUGAGUGCUCUAAUAUAAAAAAAAGAGAGAAAAAAAUAAUAAAUACGAGGAAAUAAAAAGGGGCAAGUGCCCGGAACCUCGAAAGAAAAGAAAAAAAAAAGUGAGACGAGAGGUAAAAAUGGACAAGUGUCCGACAGUAGAAUUAGGGGUAUAAGAUACCCACCUGAGAGAAAAGAAAAAGAAAAUAUAGAGCAUCUCAUUCUCCUCAAAAAGUUUCAAAAGAGCAAGAAAGGUAUGUAUCCCCUCAAAAGAGCAUAAGUAGAAUUAGGCUUUCACCAUUGUUAUCACCAUCAUCACCAUACACCAUUCAUUCGCCACACAUGCACAUCUUGAUUUGACUUAUUGACUUGAUCUUCUGGAUCCAUGGUUUGACUAUGCAAUAAAUGUCUUGUAAGUAUGUAUUAGCUGUCUCCCACCUAUGAGCUCCAGAUAUCAAAAGCCUUAUUAGAGUAGGGUGAGAGAGAAGGCAAUGUCACUAUGCCUCAUACCAAAAAUACUACAUACUUUGAGAGAAGGCAUACCACAAAAGAGAGACUAGAGAGAGUCAUACAAGGAAUCUCUGAGUUUUAUUUAAAAAUCUGCAAAAACUCCAGAGCUAUAGUUAAUCGAAGAACAAGAGACAUGGCGCUUGACUAGACCGUUCUAUCUUUUAACUGCUCAAGACAGAAGUGACGGUUACAAGUCCCAUGGUGGAAGGUAAAAUGAGUAAGUUUAAAUCUUAACAGUUUACCCUAACCCAGAGAUGAGAUCUUGUUUGAACGCAUGUGUAUCUUUAAGGCAUGAAACCACUGCAGAAACUCUUGAGUCCAUCUUUGCUCAGGGACGAGCAAAGGUUAAGCUUGGGGGAGCUUGUUGACGGUCCUUAAUGCUCACAUUUAACCAUCAACUAAUCAUAGAAAAGGAUCCAAAUGCAACCAACACCUAGACUUAGGGUUUUAUCUGACAGAAUUCCACGAGUUUUGGUGUUUGUCUAUUUCUGCAGGGGGUUAUCAGGAAAUAAGGAAGAAAGGCCCACACGUCGGGUUUACAUAGAGAUAUUAACAUGCCGCACAAUUUUCUAUCAUCUAGAAGAUUCCAGAAGCCACGGGACCGAACGGGAAGGCAAUCGGGCUCGGAGGCAGGGCGCCUGCCCAACUCUCCUGGGCGCCCGCCCAGCUACAGUGCCCAAUCAGGACACGUUUCGCGGACAAUGCUCCACCGACCUAAUACUUCAAGGAAAACCACACGAUCAAUGUCGGUUUGAUCCGACGGCCCAGAUUUACUUGAAGGGACUAUAAAACCAGACCCCCUGGCCCCUGGAGAUCAUACCUCUUCUACAGAAUCAAAGUUAGGGUUUCAAUUCUUCAUCCAAGUAGAGAGGAUCCCUCUAGUUCUUCUAGUUCUACCUCUAGUUCAUCUAGAUCUAGUUCUAGUUCAUCUAGUUCUAGUUCUAGUUCCUCUAGUUCUAGUUCUAGUUAGUUCUAGUUGUAAUCUAGAAAAUAGGGAGAGAGAAGAGGAGAGCGGAGGAGGAGCCGGAUCUGUCGGAUCUUCCUCAACAUUAUACUUUUGCAGCAUCUGGUUCAUUCUUCAUCGUUCUCCAGGUUCUUCAACUCAUAACUCCUGAGUUCUCUAAUUACUUUUAUUUACAUUCAAGUUAUUUAUUGGAUUCCCGCUUGCAUCAAGUGAUCUAGUCUUUGAAACAUUAGAGUAGUAAUUAAUAGAUUAACCGUGGCGUUUAGUCUUGCGAUUACCUGGAAUUGCACCCAAUCCUACGGAUUGUUGUGGUAGCCUUAGGGUAGUGACAGCCCUAACGGUCGACGUAUUCCACCUCGUUCGGAUCGGUGUUUGUAGGACCAUAGUCGGAGCUUCCUAGCCCCCUUCUCAUCUCUUUCUGUGGUUAGUGUUCUGAUGUCCCGAAAUAGAUAAUCUUGAAGUAAUUCUUGAUUCUUAGAUCAUCUAGAGAACUCUCAGGAAACUUCCUCUCUUCCCACCAAAAAUAAUUAUAUAGUUAUCCUUGGGCGAUCUUGGAUCUUAAUUAGUACACUCACGUUCUCUGUGGAAAAUCGAUACUCUGGAAUACUCCCGGGUGAAAGCUACAUCGGUAUCCGUGCGCUUGCGGAUUUUUCUGUUUGCGUUUAAAAUACCCAACACCUCUCAACCCUAAUUCAUUGUUCCAUCAUGGGAGAAGAAGCCUCUGAUCGAGAUUAGAGCCACCACAUCAAUUAGAUAUCUAGAUUAGCAUAGCUACAUAGGAUUAGAACUAGAAGGAGUCAAUCUUCGAUUGGUUUCCGGAUCUGUCAAGAGGAUUCUUGGUAAUUCUCUAAUUGUGUUUCUAAUUACUUUCUAAUUAUCUUUGUUCUUCAAUAUUAUGAAUAUGACUUUGUUCUACUUCAAUACAUUGCUUAUGACUUUGCUCUACUUGCUUAUAUUCAAGAUUAUAUUGUUCUUAGUUUAUCAUAGUUAUGUACUUAGCUUAGUUAGAUACGAUCUAUAUACAUGCUUAGGAUCGUAUAGCGUUUAUCCAUCGGAUCCAUAGGUAAAUGAUAGAUAUUGUGUAGGCGUGGUGCUUAUACCGUAUUUAUCUGCGAUUGUACCCAAUAUGCCAGAUCGUGGGGUGGUUCGUGAUAGUGACAGCUUCAUUGAUUCUUAUAUAGUCCCCCUCUCGUGUAUUGGGCUGGCAGAGCAACAUUAUUACAGGGGAGUGAUUGCUAUGUUUCUCAUAUUCCUUGCUAAUAUCACUAUGCAUGGGCGUAGUCUUGUCUCGCAAUGAUUGCUAAGUAUGCUUGCACUAACUAUGAUAAUGCUAGACUAUAUAGUUAAGAAUAACUUAGGGAAUAUUCUUGUAGUUCGUUCUAAUACCAUGCUAAUGACUUUCUAGAGUAUCUAAUUGAGGUGCUUAUCAUAUUUAUUAUGUGGCUAGAUCAGAUAGUUAUCCUUGUCACUAUUAUUAUUUCAUAUAUCCCUGUAUGAUGAGUUAGAUAUAAUGUUCUCAAUUAUACAUGCAAUGAUAGAUGCUCAAUCUCAUAUUCUAUUCUGUAAUCAUUAGUGAUGAUUUCUAAUCCCUUCCCAGUGGUAAAAAUAUAAAUAACGAUACCUGGAAUACUUCCCGGUUAAAAUGCUACAUCGGUAUUAAUCUGUGCGCUUGCAGAUCCCAUUCAUUAUUUAUUUAGAAGAGCAAUUGCAUAUUUCAAUACCGCGUCUCUUAUAUCAUGCUGGGGAUGACAACUUGGCUUAAGUGGUGUAAGGGAUAGGUUUGGCAUUUUUGGCACCGUUGCUAGAUUUAGAGAACUUAGUCUACUUUUAGUAAUGAUGUUAAGAAUACCCAACACCCACCUAUUGCAGAUGACAUCUUCUAUGAUGGUUUCUGCAAGACCUGUCUCCAUCCCGCUGGGGAUGAGGACUAACCGUUGGGCACGGUUCUCUAACCAUCUCGUCUUUGAUGCUUUUGGAAGGAUGGCAUAGACUCUGGCAGUAACAAAAACUUGAGAACUGAACUUUGAACAAGUGUGUGUAAUUAUUUUGCUUCCGCUACUUCGAACUUGGGUUGUAAUAACUUAAUGACUCCGAUGUGGUGCCGCUUCGACGGCAAUGAAUGACUAUGUAACAUUCAUUGUGUUUAUGUUGAACUAUUACGAUCUUGGUUUGUUGCGAGUUGGUUUGAAGUCCUUCGUGACUUCAAUUGACUACCGGGAUUAUAUGGGCUCAAGUUUGGAAACUUGAUUGCUUGGCGAUCGUUUCUGCACUUGAACUCUUAUAAUUUGGUCGGUUCUGUGACAGUGCUGCAGUCAGUGGGGUAUACUGAGCCAUCUCAGUACUCUUGGUGGGAGGUGGACAUGACAGGAGACUUGUAGUGGUUCGCUGUGCAGGGAGAUGUCCCACCACAUGGGGGCAGGCCUACAUGGACUGCGUGGACCUACAACUCAGAUGGGCAGACCCCAUGGGAAGCGGCUCAGGUUGCGGUCCAUGCUAUGCUGCUCAACAUCUGUCAGAGGUUUGGCAAUGAGCUGACAAGAGGACUAGCGGCCUCCAUUCCCCAUGCUGACCCAGCAGCAGCGGAGUGGUAGCAGGCUGAUGGUUGUGCAUUGGUCCGAGGACGACGAGAGCGAGCUGAGAGCUCCAGUCCCGCUAUGAGUACUAUGAUGGCUGUGCUCAAGCUGUUUAGUCAGCGAGAGGACACCUAUACAUAGGUGAUGGUGGCUGUUCGCCGGGCUCACGCAGAAGGCUGAAAAGCGUGCUCGCAAGUUUCGUAAGCAGCUAGACUCCUAGAGCAAGCUCGGAAGGAACGCAAUGACUGGGAAGACAUUGCGGAGUACUGCAGGCAGCUGUGGGUGAAGGCCAUUAGAGAGAGAGAUCAUAAGCAGGACCAAAUGAAUCAGUUGGCCAGAGAGAAGGAGACCGUGCAGGAGCGCUUGGUUUAGAUCACUCGUGAGAGAGAUACUGCACUCCGUGUGUCGGAGAACAGGCGUCGGGCACGGCAGAUGCACCGUAUCUAGUCGCUUGAGCAGGAGAACUAUCUGUAGAAACAGAUUGAGGCUGGUCUUGUGGAGAUUCACCAUCUCAACAACUUGAUAGACCCUAUUCCUCGCCCUGUACUAGUGUACCCAGAGGUGGGACCUCAGGUGAUCGUGGCCGAUGAUGAUUGUAUGGAGGUAGAUGGGCCGGCCGCGGCUGCAGCACCUUUGCACGAGGACGUGGAGAACGAGGAUCUUGAGCCGGUUAGCAACGAGGAUGGAGAGGCGAUCUUCGACGCUAACUCGGACGACGAGCCUGGAGUGUAGUGGGUAGCUGGUAGUCACCCUAUGAGGAUCUGUUGUAGUGUGACCUUUGGCAGCAGUUCUUCUGAAACCGUGUUGUAAUCCUGAACCUUGAUCUUAGACUUGUGGCCUGUACUGUGAUGAUGUAAUAACUUCAUGGACCUGAUGUUGUUUAACUUUAUCAUGUUCGAACGGUUGUGACGAUACUUUCCGUUGUCGUGCAUUUUUCGGAUAUCUGUGUCAUGUGUUGGGAUUGGUGAUGUUGUUUUGUGGAAUUGAAUUGUUGUGCCUUUUUCUGUAAAGUUAUUCUCUCGAAUACUUCCAGGCAUGAUUAUAAGUUCUUCUGCAGCAAAUCAUAUCAUCAUCAAUGCUCACUGACUGUAUCUUUAUAGAUGUCUUGUGGCACUUGAGGUGCGGAAAAUCAUGCGAACAUGAAUCCACCCCCUCCUCCUCCACCACCAAAUCUAACUGAGCUGAUGCAAGUGAUGGUGGAAAGUCAGAGGCUGCUCACUCAAACCAUCAAUCAGAUGGCAAACCAGGGUGGUCGGAAUGCACAACAUGGGCUAGCACCUAAUCAGUACAGCAGUUUCAAGGAUUUCGUGGAUACCAAGCCCCCAUCUUUCAGAGAGGCUGAAGAACCCCUUCAGGCUGAGGAGUAGCUGAACACGGUGGAGCAAAAGUUCCGCUUACUUCGGCUGACUGAUAGUUUGAAGGCCGAGUAUGCAGCUCAUCAACUGCAAGGUCCAGCAGGUAUUUGGUGGAAUCAGCAUAGGGAGGCUCUUCCGGACAACACCGUAGUUGAAUGGAAUCUCUUCCAUGAAGCUUUCAAAGGUCAUUUCAUACCUCUUGGGGUCAUGGAGAUGAAGCAUACUGAGUUCAUGCAAUUAACUCAGGGCAACAAAACUCUGAAGGAGUACUUGCAUGCUUUCAAUCAUCUGUCGAGGUAUGCUUCUGAGUUUGUGAGAUCUGAGUUGAAGAAGAUUACUAGCUUCAAGAGGGGUCUUGGCCCCAAGGUGCUGAAGACUAUGGGCCACACCAAGUGUGCAACUUUCAAUGAGUUUGUCAGUGAUGCUCUUACCGAAGAGAAUUACAACACUGUGUACACUGCGACCAAGACUCGCAAGCGAGAUUUUGAGACCGGGGCAGGGGCAUCUCAGUCAAGCCUCCAGUGGCAGCUAGGCCCUAGUAUCCUGCUCUAGCUCCUAACACACGAUAUCGCCCUCUAGCAAAGAAGAAUCAGGCGAAGACGGGGUUCCGCAAGGGGUACUCCAUUGCUCUUCCUAGGGCCAACACUGGGCCCAGCUAUGCCAAGACUCCACCUGCCAACCGUCCGUGCUGGAACUGUAAUCAGACAGGGCACUGGCAAAGCAACUGUCCUUCCCGCCAAAGAAGGGCAACCAAUGGAACGUCUAUCACGGGGCGUGUUCACUAUACAACUGUGGAAGCAAUCCCUGCUGGUGAGGUAGUUACGGCUGGUAAGUUUCUGGUUAACCAAUGUGAUGCCCUUGUGCUUUUUGAUUCAGGAGCAUCGCAUUCUUUUGUGACUUCGGACUUUGUGUCUAAGUAUGAUCUCAAGAUAGUUACGCUUGAUAAAGGCAGCUAUUGCAUUAGUGCUACUGGAAAUAAUAUUUCUACAAAUCAAGUGGUUUUUGGGGCAACUCUGGAAAUAGGAGAUCGUUAGUUUCUUGCUGAUCUGGUUGUUCUACCCGGCGUGGGUAUAGACGUAAUUCUGGGAAUGAAAUGGAUGAGUGGCAACGGAGUUCUUAUCGACACCACCACUCGUGUAGUGAUGUCGAGAGACCUUAAUACCAAAGAUGCGUUCUUAGUGUAACUUCCUCAAGAUAUUCAUAUCCAUAGCACGAUGAAUGCAGUUACAUCUAGGGCCAUCAAGGAUAUUCCGGUAGUGUGUGAAUUCCCAGAUGUAUUCCCUGAUGAUUUGCCCGGGCUUCCUCCAGAUCGAGAUGUGGAGUUCAAAAUUGAAUUGCUCCCAGGUACUGCUCCUAUCUCUAGAAGACUAUAUAGAAUGCCGCCAAACGAGCUAGCUGAGCUUAAGAGACAGUUGAAUGAGUUGUUACAGAAGGGUCUUAUCCGUCCUAGUUCUUCUCCUUGGGGUUGUUUGGCUAUCUUUGUGAAGAAGAAGGACCAGUCCUUGCGCAUGUGUGUGGACUAUCGUCCUCUGAAUGCGGUAACCAUCAAGAAUAAGUACCCUCUUCCUCGCAUUGAUAUCCUGAUUGAUCAGUUGUCUAAAGCUAAGGUAUUCUCCAAGAUUGAUUUACGAUCUGGAUAUCAUAAGAUCAAGAUUCGUCGUGAAGAUGUGCCUAAGACAGCUUUCUCGAUGAGGUAUGGGUUGUAUGAGUAUCUCGCUCGUCAUGUCUUUCGGUCUUACCAAUGCACCUGCUCACUUUAUGUAUCUCAUGAAUUCGGUAUUCAUGCCCGAAUUAGACAAGUUUGUGGUGGUCUUCAUUGAUGAUAUCUUGGUAUACUAUUGCAAUGAAGAGGAGCAUGCAGAGCAUCUGCGUGUAGUGUUGACGCGCUUGCGUGAGCAUCAGCUUUAUGCUAAGUUCAGCAAAUGCGAGUUUUGGCUAAAGAAAGUACCUUUCUUGGGUCAUGUAUUAUCAGAAGAAGGCAUAUCAGUGGAUCCGGCUAAGGUGCAAGAAGUGCUGGAUUGGAAGGUUCCAACUUCAGUGCAUGAGGUUCAGAGUUUUCUAGGUCUGGCUGGGUAUUAUCGUCGUUUCAUUCCGGAAUUCUCAAAAAUAUCCAUGCCUAUGACUCACCUACUUCAGAAGGAUGAGAAGUUUGUGUGGACGCCUGAAUGUGAAGAGGCAUUCAACAAGUUGAGGACAUUGCUGACAUCAGCUCCUGUCCUAGCUCAACCCGAUAUCGAGAAGCCUUUCGAUGUCUUUUAUGACGCGUCUGGUAUCGGUCUGGGCUGUGUGUUGAUGCAAGAAGGUCAUGUUAUCGCUUAUGCCUCACGCCAACUUCAAAACCAUGAGGUCAAUUACCCUACUCAUGACUUAGAAUUGGCUACGGUUCUUCAUGCUUUGAAGAUCUGGAGGCACUAUUUGCUGGGUAAUCUGUGCAAUAUCUACACCGAACAUAAGAGUCUCAAGUACAUCUUCACUCAACCUGAAUUGAACAUGCGACUGUGAAGGUGGCUUGAGCUGAUUAAAGAUUAUAAUCUUCAAGUGCACUACCAUCCGGGCAAGGCAAACGUGGUUGCGGAUGCCUUGAGUCGGAAAGCUCACUGUCAUUCAGUUCAGAUGGAAGAUCCAUCGUUGUCAUGUCUUGUGCACCCGCUAGUGCUCCACCAGAUUGCUCUAGAGAGUUCUCUUCACAAUCGAGUCAUCGAAUUGCAGCAAACGGAUGUAGGCAUCCAUCAUAUAAAAAGGAAAAUGAAAGAAGAAGAAACCAAGCAUUUCCAGGUCGAUGUGAACAGAUUUCCGUGGUUCAAGGAUUGGCUUGUGGUGCCAAAGGACCGUGAGCUCCGAAAUCAGAUUCUAUCUGAAGCUCAUUCAUCCAAGUUGUCUAUCCAUCCUGGUAGUAGCAAGAUGUAUCAGGAUCUGUAACCUCUGUUUUGGUGGACCAGGAUGAAAAAAGAGAUUGCUGCUUUUGUUGCUCGUUGUGAUAACUGUUGUCGUGUGAAGGCAGUUCACAUGAAUGCAGGCUUGCUUCAACUCUUGUCAAUUCCUGGUUAGAAAUGGGAAGAAGUUAGUAUGGAUUUUAUCUCUAGACUCCUAAUUUUUGUUAAGGGUUAUGACUCUAUCUGGGUGAUUGUAGAUCCUUUGACCAUGGUUGCUCGUUUUAUUCCAGUUCGAACUGAUUAUCGUCCACAUCAGUAUGCAGAGUUGUACUUCGAGCACAUUGUUCAUCAGUAUGGUGUGCCUGGGACUAUCAUCUCAGAUCGUGGUCCACAGUUCACUACCCGUUUUUGGGAGUGUCUUCAUGAGCAAAUCGGUACUCACUUAGUUCGUAGUUCUGCGUAUCAUCCUCAAACGGCUGGCCAAACUAAACGUGUUAACCAAAUCCUAGAAGACAUGUUGAGGGCAUGUGCUCUCUCUUCAAAAGGUUCUUGGGUAAAGUGGUUACCGUUAGCUGUGUUCUCUUAUAACAAUAGUUAUCAAGAGAGCAUCAAGAUGGCUCCGUAAGCCCUAUAUGAUCGAAAGUGUCAAACCCCGUUGAAUUGGGUGGAACCCGGGGAACGAAGGUAUUAUGGUAUCGAUUUCGUGAACGAAGCGGAGUAGCAAGUUCGUACCAUCCAGCAACAUCUAGAAGUUGUUCAGGCUCGUUAGAAAAGUUAUGCUGAUAAGAGAAGGAAGCCGAUUGAGUUUGCAGUCGGUGACCAUGUGUAUCUCAAGGUCUCUCCGAUGAAAGGCGUACAAAGGUUUGGAGUCAAGCGAAAGCUUGCACCUCGUUAUGUGGGUCCUUAUCGGAUUCUCGAGAAAAAAGGGAACGUAGCUUAUAAGGUUCAACUACCGGUUGAGCUUCGAGCUAUCUUUCCUGUCUUUCAUGUAUCACAGUUGAAGAAAUGCCUUCGUGUGCUGGAAGAACGAGUGGAAGUUUGGGAUAUCAAGUUGAAAUCUGACUUGGAGAAACCUGUAGCGGUUGUUGACCGCAAGGAGCGGGUGACUCGUAAUUGUGUGGUUAAGUUCUACAAGGUGUUGUGGAGUAACCACGGUGAGGAAGAUGCCACUUGGGAAACAGAGGACUAUUUAAAAGAAGUUUAUAAAACUUUAUUUGAAAAUCAGUCAGCUUCCAAAUCUCGGGACGAGAUUUUUGUAAGGGGGGAGGGCUGCAACACCCUAGUGUUAUGGUUGUUGACGGUCCUUAAGUACUAAAAUUAAUAAUCAAAUAAACAUGUAAAAGGAUCGAUACACACCAAACAUCUAGAAUUAGGGUUUUAUCUGACAGAAUUCCACGAGCUUUGGUGUUUGUCUAUUUCUGCAGGGGGUUAUCAGAGAAUAUGGAGAGAAGGCCCACAUUCAUGUUUACAACGAGAUAAUUACGUGUCACGCAAUUUUACUCAAUCUAGAAGAGUCUAGAAGCCACGGGAACGAACGAGAAGACGAUCGGGCUCGGGGGUAGGGCGCCCGCCUAGGGUUAGAGUCCAAUCAGGACUCUCUUUUGGGACUACGCUCCACCGACCUAAAGUAUGAAUCUAAACCAUACAAUCAAUGUCGGUUUGAUCUAACGGCCCAAAUUCACUUGAAAGGACUAUAUAACCAAGGCCUCUCCACCCCUAGAGGAGAGAAGAGAGGAGGAGAAAUCAUUAUCAGAGGUAGCCAUCAAAGUUAGGGUUUAGACUUCUCUCCCACAGAGAAUUAGAAUUAGCUACUCGCUAAUCCUUCAAGUUUAGAGGGUUGAUUAGAUAGCAAUUAGAGAAGUAGAGCACGACGCUCUGGAUUCGGAUCUUCGGUAAUAAAGAUUCGUAUUGAUCAUAUCUUUCUCUAAUACUUUGUUCUAAUUGCAUUAUGUCUCUACUUAUUAUGUUCUUAGUUUGCUCUAGUUCUAUAUUUGAUAUAGUUAUGAUUGAUAAUGAGUUUAUGUACAAGUUUGCAAAGCGCUUAGCUCUUGACGCGAGGGAGUUAAGUGGUAGAUCACAUGUGGGCGUGGUGCUUAGAUGUUAUUUACCUGCAAAUGUAUCCUAUUGGCCCCGUCGUGUGGUAGUUCGCGAUAGUGACAGCUUCAUGGAUUCUUAUAUAGUCCACCCUCCGUUGAUAGGACAGGCAGAACUUGUAUUGCGAAUUAAGUCCUGCGAUGUUCUGAUUUACUUUAGCAAUGUUCCUUAUACAUGAAUGAAGAGUCUUUUAUGCUAUACAUGAUUGUGUAGAUAACUAGAGUAGAUUAUGACUUAGUUGAUAGUAGAUAACUUAUAAUCCAUUCUCUAGCUAAUCCAACGUCACCUACAUAUAUGAGGAGUAGUCUAUUUUCUAAUCAUUGUGUUAUUUACCCUUGAACUUAUAAUUCAUUAUCGUUAUCUUUAUGGUUUACCCCCUGCUAAAGUAAGUGACUGUGUGACGAGUUUCUCAUUAGUAAUCAUGUUCUUGCAAGUUUAUCUCUAGUCUAUGCCUUGAUAGAUUUUGCCCUUAUUUUAAUUUCAUACCUUUUGUUCUCUUAAGCAAAAUUAUUAAUAACGAUACGUGGAAUACUUAUCCUAGUGAAAUGCUACAAUGAGGUGUUUUAUCUGUGCGCUUGCGGAUAGAAUAGAUUAUUUUCUAGAGAGCCUUUACAUAUAUAAAUACCUUUGUACACUCUGGCACCAUGCUGGGGAUGACAACCUAGUAUCUAAGUGGUGUUAGCUAGUGAUUUACUCAUCUGCUAGUGAUUUUGAUGAGGAUACACUUGCACUGCUUGCGACUGACCAUGCAGGUAAUGAAGAUCAAAUAGAAGAACAUAUUAAUGCAGGUGAAGCGGACCACUAUGAGAGCUUGAUCGUGCAGCGAGUGCUUAGUGCACAAAUGGAGAUGGCGGAGCAAAAUCAGCGACACAUUUUAUUCCAAACAAAGUGUGUCAUCAAAGAGCGUUCUUGUCGCAUGAUCAUUGAUGGAGGUAGCUGCAACAACUUGGCAAGCAGCGAUAUGGUGCAGAAGCUUGCCCUCAACACCAAGCCACACCCGCAUCCCUACUACAUCCAAUGGCUGAACAACAGUGGUAAGGCAAAGGUAACUAGACUUGUGAGAAUUAAUUUUUCCAUCGGAUCCUACAAAGAUAUUGUUGAAUGUGAUGUUGUGCCUAUGCAAGCUUGUAACAUUCUGCUAGGUAGACCUUGGCAAUUUGAUAGAGAUUCUAUGCAUCAUGGUAGAUCAAAUCAGUAUUCUUUUCUAUACCAUGAUCACAAAAUUGUGUUGCAUCCUAUGUCCCCUGAAACUAUUAUGCAAACUGAUGUUGCUAGGGCUACUAAAGCAAAGAGCAAGAGCAAUAAAAAUGAUAAAUCUGUAAUUGGUAACAAAGAUGAGAUAAAACUGAAAGGACAUUGUAUGAUAGUUACCAAAUCAGAUAUUAAUGAGUUCAGUGCAUCCACUUCUGUUGCUUAUGCUUUCAUAUGAAAGGAUGCUUUGAUUUCAAUUGAGGAUAUGCAAUGUUCUUUGCCCCCUGCUGUUGCUAACGUUUUGCAGGAGUAUUCUGAUGUGUUUCCAAGUGAGGUACCAGCGGGGCUGCCUCCACUACGCGGGAUUGAGCACCAAAUUGAUCUUAUUCCUGGAGCAGUUUUGCCAAAUUGUGCACCAUACAGGACAAACCCGGAGGAAACAAAGGAAAUUCAGCGACAAGUGCAAGAACUACUAGACAAAGGUUAUGUCCGAGAAUCUCUUAGUCCUUGUGCUGUUCCAGUAAUUUUAGUGCCUAAGAAAGAUGGAACAUGGCGUAUGUGUGUUGAUUGUAGAGCUAUUAAUAAUAUCACCAUUCGAUAUCGACACCCUAUUCCACGAUUAGAUGAUAUGCUAGAUGAACUGAGUGGUGCUGUUGUGUUUUCAAAAGUUGAUUUACGUAGUGGGUACCACCAGAUUCGUAUGAAAUUGGGAGAUGAAUGGAAAACUGCUUUCAAAACUAAGUUCGGUUUGUAUGAGUGGUUAGUCAUGCCUUUUGGGUUAACUAAUGCACCUAGUACUUUCAUGAGAUUAAUGAAUGAUGUUUUGCGUGCUUUCAUUGGGAAAUUUGUUGUCGUAUAUUUUGAUGACAUAUUGAUUUACAGCAAAUCAUUGGAUGAACAUCUUGAUCAUUUACAUGCUGUUUUUAAUGCACUACGUGAGGCACGUUUAUUUGGUAACCUUGAGAAGUGCACCUUUUGCACCGAUCGAGUGUCUUUUCUUGGUUAUGUUGUGACUCCACAGGGAAUUGAGGUUGAUCAAGCCAAGGUGGAAGCUAUACAGGGAUGGCCUGUCCCAAAUACUAUCACCCAGGUGCGGAGUUUUCUAGGACUUGCUGGAUUCUAUCGCCGUUUUGUGAAGGAUUUCAGCACCAUUGCUGCACCAUUGAAUGAGCUUACAAAGAAGGGGGUGCCUUUUGAUUGGGGCAAAGCACAAGAGAAUUCAUUCAACAUGUUGAAAGAUAAGUUAACUCAUGCACCUCUCCUACAACUUCCUGAUUUUAAUAAGACUUUUGAGCUUGAAUGUGAUGCUAGUGGAAUUGGUUUGGGAGGUGUUUUAUUACAAGAGGGAAAACCUAUUGCAUAUUUUAGUGAGAAAUUGUGUGGGCCUGUUCUCAAUUAUUCAACUUAUGAUAAAGAACUCUAUGCUCUUGUUAGAACAUUAGAGACAUGGCAGCAUUAUUUGUGGCCCAAAGAGUUUAUUAUCCAUUCUGAUCAUAAAUCUUUGAAACAUAUUCGUAGUCAAGGAAAACUGAAUUGUAGGCAUGCAAAAUGGGUUGAAUUUAUUGAAUCUUUUCCUUAUAUUAUUAAGCACAAGAAAGGGAAGGAAAAUAUUAUUGCUGAUGCUUUAUCACGGAGAUAUACUUGCUGAAUCAACUUGAUUACAAGAUAUUUGGGUUAGAAACAAUUAAAGACCAAUAUGUUCAUGAUGCUGAUUUUAGAGACGUGUUGCUGCAUUGUAAAGAUGGAAAAGGGUGGAAUAAAUUCAUCGUCAGUGAUGGGUUUGUGUUUAGAGCUAACAAGCUAUGCAUUCCAGCUAGCUCUGUUCGUUUGUUGUUGUUACAGAAAGCUCAUGGAGGAGGUUUGAUAGGACAUUUUGGAGCAGAGAAGACGGAGGACAUACUUGCUGGUCAUUUCUUUUGGCCAAGGAUGAGGAGAGAUGUGGAGAGGUUUGUUGCUCGUUGCACAACAUGUCAAAAGGCAAAGUCACGGUUAAAUCCCCAUGGUUUGUAUUUACCUCUUCCUGUUCCUAAUGCUCCUUGGGAGGAUAUAUCUAUGUAUUUUGUGUUGUGACUACCGAGGACUAGGAGGGGACGUGAUAGUGUGUUUGUGGUUGUUGAUAGAUUUUCUAAGAUGGCACAUUUUAUACCAUGUCAUAAAACUGAUGAUGCUACAAAUAUUGCUGAUUUGUGCUUUCGAGAAAUUGUUCGCUUACAUGGUGUGCCCAACACAAUUGUUUCUGAUCGUGAUGCUAAAUUUCUUAGUCAUUUUUGGAAGACUUUGUGGUUCAAAUUGGGGACUAAGCUUUUAUUUUCCACCACUUGUCAUCCCCAAACUGAUGGUCAAACUGAAGUUGUUAAUAGAACUUUAUCCACUAUGUUAAGGGCUGUUUUAAAGAAGAAUAUUAAGAUGUGGGAAGAAUGUUUGCCUCAUGUUGAGUUCGCCUAUAAUCGUUCAUUGCAUUCUACUACAAAAAUGUGUCCUUUUGAGAUUGUCUAUGGCUUCUUGCCACGUGCUCCUAUUGAUUUAAUGCCUUUGCCAAGUUCUGAAAAAAUAAAUUUUGAUGCUAAGCAACGUGCUGAAUUGAUGUUAAAAUUGCAUGAAGCCACUAAACAAAACAUAGAGCGCAUGAAUGUUAAGUACAAAUGUGCUGGAGAUAAAGGUAGAAAGCAAUUGAUUCUGGAACCUGGGGAUUUGGUUUGGUUGCAUUUGCGAAAAGAUAGAUUUCCAGAACUGAGAAAAUCCAAAUUGAUGCCUAGAGCUGAUGGUCCUUUUAAAGUGCUGCAACGAAUUAAUGAGAAUGCAUAUAAGCUUGAUCUUCCUGCAGAUUUUGGGGUUAGUCCCACAUUUAACAUUGCAGAUUUGAAGCCUUAUUUGGGUGAGGAAGAUGAGCUUGAGUCGAGGACGACUCAAAUGCAAGAAAGGGAGGAUGAUGAGGACAUCAACACCAGCGAUACAUCCUCUCCUACAUCCUCUCCGACACAACCUAUAGCUGGUCCUACAUCUCCGACACAACCUAUAGCUGGUCCUACAUCCUCUCCGACACAACCUAUAGCUGGUCCUCUUACUCGUGCUCGUGCCCGUCAACUCAACCUUCAACUAAGUUCAGUUUUAAACUCUUGUCAAUCAUAUUUAGACAAUGGAGACACGUGCACUUUCGUGUUGCUCAGGAAUAAUGGACAAGAUCAGCAAGGGAAGGUUCAACUGCAUUCAGAAUUUGAGGCAACAACAACUUCAAGGGCUGAUUGCAUAUGGGAAGAGUGAUAACUUAACAAAGGUGAUUGGAGAUCAGGUCCAAGCCUCCACAACAUCCUCUAUCAAGUUACCACGUCGCUUCUAAAGCAAGGAAACAAAGAGUCCAAACCCAACACGUUUUGGGAGUUGGAUUCGGACUGGAAAAUAACUCUAACUUGUAUGGAUCACCACGGCGUCAUAUGGACUCCAACUGGGACGUUCCUAUACUUGUUGGAAAGCUCAUGAAGUCUACUUUCCAAUGGGUCCAACCACAUAUCUAUGCAGUUUAUGAGUCGGGCGCAGUCCUUGUUUUCGUGCCGACACCUUUUUCUGUUUUGGUGCUGCGUCACCCUAAUUUGGACCAAUGGCCCAUGUAUCAAGUUGAGUCCAUUAGGGACGCAUCCUAGGGUUGGAGGACGACUCUAGCACCCCUUUGGUCGUCCUCCCCUCUAUUUAUUUACAUCUAGAGCCGCCAUGAACAACUGGGUUUUGUUUAGAUCAAGUUUAGCCUUCGCUACUUGCUUGUAGGCGCGCGUGCAGGAUCAGCCGCCCGUCUCCUUGUCUUCAGAACCCCAUUGUUGAUUCAGAUUCAGUUUGAAACCUUCAAUUCAUCUUGCAAAUUCAGUGCUUGUUUCCUCGUUCUUGCUAGUUCUUCGAUUGCUUGCAGGACGGGAGCCCUAGGGGCUGGUUGUCGCGCUCCACAAGAUCGUGACGGCUGUUGGAGGUGGUGUAUCGGUUGCUAAGGCGCGGUCUUGAGGGCUGUAGUCGGGCCGUGAACGUCAUCUCCAUCCACUAAUCGAGUUAUCCAGCGCCUCUCAUCGAAAGAUCAGGCCAAAAACCCUAGCGGGUUCGCAUCACAAUGGUUCUUGAUAAUGAUGUUGAUGAUAGCAAGGAAGAACAUAUGAUGAACUUGAUAUGGUUAUUAUUGCUUGUAACAAUCAAGUGAAGUGUUUAGUCUAGGUGCUAAUCUAGUGGUAGGCUAGUGAUGAUUAAUAUGAUGCCUUUACAAAUGAUGUAGUAUCCACUUAAGCUUUUGGCAAAUGUUGAGUCGAGCUAGCUACACUUUAUACUCGGUCUUGCAUGAUCCUUGGUGUCUUUAUGUUUGACUAGACGGGUAAGUAUAGCUGAGUACAUCCUCGUACUCAGGGUUUAUUCCCACCUGUUGCAGAUGAUGUCUUUUAUGAUGUCUUCUGCAAGACUUAUCUCCAUCCCGCUGGGGAUGAGGACUAAACCUUUGGGCACGGUCCUCUAACGACUUCGUACCUUGAUGCUUUUGGUGGAUGAGAUGAGACUUUGGCAGUAACAAGAACUUAUGAAAUGUGUGUGUGUAAACUAUUUUGCUUCCACUACUCUAAAACUGGUGUUGUAAUAACUAAGUAACUCUGAUGUGGUGCCGCUUCGUCGGCAAUGGUUUACUAUGUAACAUUCGCUGUAUUAUGUUGAACUUUUACGAUCUUGGUUUGUUGCAAGUUGGUUUGAAGUCCUUCAUGAUUUCAGUUGACUUCUGGGAUUAUAUGGGCUCAAGUCUGGAAACAUGAUUGCUAGUUGAUCGUUUCUACACUUGAACUCUUAUAAUUUGGUCGGUUCUAUGACAUAAUCCACCGAUUUGGGGUGCCCAAUGUCAUCAUCACCGACAACGGCACGCAAUUCAUGGGCAAGAACUUCCUAGACUUCUACAACCAUCAUCACAUCCGUGUGAACUAGUCUGCAGUCGCCCAUCCUCGAACUAACAGUCAAUUCGAGCAUGCCAAUGGCAUGACCUUGCAAGGCCUCAAACCCAGAAUCUACAACCGAUUGAAAAAAUUUGGCAAGAAGUGGAUCGAGGAGCUAUCAUUGGUCCUAUGGAGUUUAAGGAUGAUACCCAGUCGAGCUACAAAAUUCACUCCAUUCUUCAUGGUCUAUGGCUCCGAGGCUAUUUUACCCACAGACCUCGAGUAUGGAUCUCCUCGACUCAAGGCAUACAACAAGCAGACCAACAAUGAGACAUGGGAGAACGCAGUUAACCAGCUCGAGGAAGCUCGAGACAUGGCCCUCCUCAACUCGGCAAGAUAACAGCAGAAGCUCAUGGUGGUUUUGGCUCGGAUUUGUUCCAAUGGAUAGAGCUACACGAGUUCUACAAGAUUGCUUAAAGGAUCAAGGUCUAGUUUGGCCUAGAAUUCAAACUACAACGCUCCCAAGUACUCUACCUCGAAACUGUAGAAUCCACACUUAGCCAAAAUCGACUAAGUGUUGGAAGCAGCACUAGUUUUUGGCUUGUGGGCCACUUUUGGUCAGGUUCCAACCAUUUUCAUGAAAAGGCACCAAAACAACUGUUAUAGCUUAUAACAUUUACUACAACUUUGCUUUAGAUGUCAUUUACAUGCAAGGUCUCUAACACUGAUUUCAUAAAAGAUCUUUAAAAAGAGGUUUAGGGGGUCAACUAGGUCAACCUAGGGUUAAGCAUGACUUAGGGGCAUUUUUAGGUGAGACCUCCAACAUAGACUUUGUUCAAAAUAAUAUUCUAAACAUGAAUAAAGCAUUUUGGCAGACAAGGUGCCCUUAGAUGCAUUGGUCACAUAUUACUUUAACACAUACCAAGCCACAUAGCAAGUCACUCACCUAGGGUACACACAAUAUGACAUGUGAUCAUGGUAUGAUGCUCAUGAGUGAUCAUGAUAAUGCUUAUGUUGAUGCAAUGCUCAUGGUUUACAUGCAAGCUAACACUAGGAGUGUUACAUGGGUGGCUGCUCAUCCUCACUAUCGCUAAAGAAACCUUUAUGCUGUCCCCUGAUGACAGUCCUAACAAACUUGCGUUUAGCGCCUAGGGUUUCUGCUGAGGGUGCGGCUUUGCUAGCUGAAGCUUCGUUCUUACGGAAAAGUCCCUUCGCAUGCCCUCCGUUAGGUUUGUGUAUCCCUCUAUUAUAUAUGAGCGAUUAUCAUAAACAUGAGAUGACAGAGACGACUUUCGGAAGAUGAAGGCAUGACAGUAGCUCCCUUGCUAAGUCCACCACCACCAAGAGUCUUCUUCUUCGGUCCUAGUGCAUCGGUGGUUGGAUGAAAAGCAGUGGGCUUCUUCUUCUAGGCGCCAUCCUUGAUGAUGCGGGAGCGGGCAGUCGACUUCAGGCUUGGGCUAAAGUCCUAGCUUGGUGGGAGAAAGGCUUAUGGUGCCUCGACUGCCGCCCGUGCUUCUUUCUCCACAAAGGAACUCUCUCUAAAGGGGACGAUGUCUAGGUUUGCGAAGGAGCUAGGGGCUUGGAUCAGGGAGAGGGCGUAGCUAGACAUUCUUGCCUUGGAUCUUGGGAGAGCUUAGCACACAUGGUGAGAGGGAGAAGAGAAAGGUUUCGUGUGAAGAAUUGAGAGGCCUUGGGGCUGCUUAUGUAGGUUCUUCCGCGCACCUAAAUAAGGAAUCAAACUUGAUCGUAGGCUGUAACACGAUACUGGAGGGAUCAGAGGGUGGUACGAAAAAGAUUGGGGCCGAUUGGUUGGGCUAGGGGUGCGGCCGCAACCAGAUGCCCCCGAACCCCUAGGACCACCAGUCGGCCUCCGUUUUUUUGGCAGCUCGUGUUAUUUGUUUCCCUAAUCGUGAUCCCACUUACGAUCAAUGUUGAUUCGCAGUGUAUUGGCGGGAUGGGAAAGAGAAUAAUUUUUGAAUUUUGAAUAAAACUUUCUAAAACUCAAGAGAUUGCACUAUCAUGCAUUUAUGAUGAGAAGAUGCUAUGAUGGAAACAGAUUUUAAAUAAGAUAUACAAGAUCAUAGGGGCAUUUUGGGUAAAACAUAAAUGCAUAAAUCAAGAGGCUUUAUUUAAAGUAAAAUAAAUACAACAACAAAAUAUAUAUUAAAUUAUUUUUUUAACACAUUCCUUUGGUGUAUUCUUUAAAAGAAACUAAAUUUAUUUCAUCAAAAGAAUGGGGUUGGGGUUCGAGAAAUACCUUGAGACGUUGGCCAUUUACCUUAUGGAUGUUGCCACCGUCGUCCUUUAUUGUGACAGCUCCGUGCGGCGCCACCUUGAUCACUGUGUAAGGUCCGUCUCAUUUGCUCCUAAGCUUUCCUUUCCCGAACAAUUUGACUCUCGAGUUGAAGAGUAGGACUUUGUUGCCGAUCUUGAAUUCUUUAUGUAAGAUCUUUUUAUCGUGCCAUCUUUUUGUUCUUUUUUUGUAGAGCUUGGCACUGUGAUAGGCUUUUUCUCGCCAUUCUUCUAAUUCUGCGACUUGUCUUUGCCUCUUUCUUCCAACGGCCUUGAUGUCCAUAUUCCAAGUAUUGAUUGCCCAAUGAGCUCUAUGUUCAAGCUCAACAUGCAAAUGACAGCUUUUGCCAUAGACCAACUGAUAAGGUGACAUUGCGAUGGGAUUUUUGUAAGCUGUCCUGUAUGCCCAGAGUGCAUCAGGGAGCUUAUCUUUCAAGCCCGUUCCCAUUUCGUUCACCAUUUUCUGGAGUAUGUUCUUGAUCUGCUUAUUGGAAGUUUCGGCCUGCCCGCUGGUUUAGGGAUGAUAAGGAGUAGCAACAUUUUGACGGGUGCCCAAAUCUCGCAAAAAUUUCUCUGAAGGCUUUAUCAAUGAAGUGCAACCCUCCAUCACUUAUCACCAUUCUUGGUGUCCCAAAAUGAGGAAAGAUGAUCUCGUGAAACAUCUUUCUUGCAUGCUUGGCAUCUGCUGCUCAACACGGUAAUGCUUCUACCCAUUUUGAUACGUAGUCAACUGCUACAAGGAUGUGCUCGUAGUCGCCUGAUUUCUUGAAUGUCCCCAUAAAGUCAAUUCCCCAGACAUCAAAAAUUUCGACUUGGAGAUUGAAGUGAAGUGGCAUGGCGUUUCGUGCACUGAUGUUGCCUUGUAGCUGGCACUGACGGCAUCUGUGGACGAACUUCUUCGUGUCUUGAUACAUUGUAGGCGAGUAGAAGCUGCACGUCCAGAUUUUGGACUGUGUGUGAAAUACUCCAUAGUGACCUCUACAUGGUGAAGCGUGACACUUCUCGAUGACUUGUGCACCCUCUGAGGUGGGCACACAUCUUCGUAGCAGUCCGUCAGCAUAGACCCGGUAUAGGUAGGGGUCGUCCCACAGGUGGCGUCGACUUUCAUAUUCAAGCUUCUUCUUUGAUUCGCCUAGGGGUACGUAGUUAACAAUAUUUGCAUACCAUGGGUUCGUGUCGUUGAUCAUCAGGAGCAUGUUGUCGCGUAGGAAGUCGUUAAUCUCCUAUUCCUGCAUGUUAGUGACUUGCAUACGCGAAAGAUGAUCUGCAACAGUAUUUUCUACUCCUUUCUUAUCUUUUAUCUCAAUAUCAAACUCUUGUAACAACAAGAUCCAUCCGAGUAGAUGAGGUUUAGCAUCCUUUUUGGUGAGCAAAUAUUUGAGAGCAGCAUGAUCCGUAUAAACAAUUAUCUUUGCUCGCACCAAAUAGGAUCUAAACUUCUCGAUAGCAAAGACUACAGCGAGGAACUCUUUUUCAGUAGUGGCAUAGUUAAGCUGAGGUCCUAUCAAAGUCUUGCUAGCGUAAGCGAUCACAUGAAGCUUUUUGUCCUUGGUUUGGCCGAGGACCGCCCCAAUAGCAUAAUCGCUGGCAUCACACAUGAUCUCAAAGGGUAGUGACCAAUCCAGAGGUUGGAUAAUGGGCGCUGAGAUGAGUGCCUUCUUUAUGGUUUUGAAAGCUCUUAAGCACUCAUGUAUGAACUCAAAGGGAACGUCUUUUGCUAAAAGGGCUGUCAGUGGCCGGGUGAUUAGUGAAAAAUCUAUGAUAAAUCGUCUAUAAAACCGGGCGUGGCCUAGAAAGAUGCAAAUUCCCUUGACGUUCACAGGGGGAUGUAGUUGUUCUAUGACUUCUAUUUUUCCUUUAUCUACCUCGAUUCCCCGUUCAGACACUAAGUGUCCCAAAACAAUGCCUUCUCGGACCAUAAAGUGGCAUUUUUCCCAAUUAAGUAUCAGGUCCUUCUCUUGGUAUCUUUUCAAAACUUUGUCCAAAUUUUCAAGGCAAUGAUCGAAAGUUUUUCCACAGACCGAUAAGUCAUCCAUGAAAACUUCCAUGAUCUCCUCAAUCAUUUCCGAGAAAAUGGACAUCAUGCAUCUUUGGAAUGAGGCGGGUGCAUUGCUCAACACGAACGACAUUCUUCUGUAUGCAUACGUUCUAUAUGGGCAUGUGAACAUAGUUUUGCUUUGAUCAUUGGGAUGGAUGGGAAUUUGGUGAUAACUAGAAUACCCACCGAGGAAACAGAAAUAGGAGUGUUUCGCCAAUUGUUCCAACAUCUCAUCGCCGAAGGGCAAUGGGAAAUGAUCCUUUUUCGUUGACACGUUAAGUUUUCUGUAAUCAAUACACAUUCUCCAUCCCGUGAUGGUACAUUGAGGGAUAAGCUCGUUCUUAGCAUUCUUAAUUACUGUCAUUCCUCCUUUUUUCAGAACCACUUGGACGGGACUAACCCAGUCGCUAUGUGGUACGGGAUAAAUAAUCCCAGCGUGAAAAAGUUUGAGGACUUCCUUUUUCACGACUUCCCUCAUCGCAUUAUUGAGCCUGUGUUGUGGUUCACAUGUAGGUGUGCUUGCAGGGUCAAUAGGUAUAUGAUGGGUACAGAGUGUUGGGCUAACCCCCUUGAGGUCUUGCAAGGAAUACCCGAAGACCGACCUACGCUUUUCUAAAACGGCGAUGAGUUGAGAGGUUUCGUCAUUAGAAAGCUUAUCACUAAUGAUGACGGGUGUGUUUUUGUCACCGUGAAGAAAAGCAUAUCUUAAUCCUUCGGGUAGGGUUUUUAGCUCAACUGGAGGUGGAGUCGGCGCUUCCUCCUUAGGAAGUUUGAGGAUUUCUCCUGUGUCGUCCUCUUCUUCUAUAAAGAAGUUAGAGUCAUUUUCUAAGGACGUCUCAGGAGUUGGGAAUCGCAUUAUGGACAUAACCUCCUUGGGCAUAGAAGAACAGGGAGGUUCUGCUAUCGAGUUUAUAGCUCGAGAGAAUGGGAUCGAAAAUUUAUUCCUCCCUAUCUUUAGAUCUAAUUCCCCUAUGUUGGAGGCAUCAUAGAAGAAUGUCUCCAGGGGGUGCCCGAUCAGCACAUCGAAGCCUAUGUCGUCAAAGAUAUGAAAAUCUAGAGUCAAGACGACAUCUUUGUGCUGAAUGUUCACGUUGUAAACCACUCCUUGUCCCUUUUUAAUGGACCAUGGUCCAUCUCUAAAAGACAAGUUGGUAGGAGCUAAAGUCUUAUCACCAAGAUGGGUGAGUGCAAAGCCUGAGGAGACUAUGUUUGCUGGAUCAUCCUGGAUCUUGCAGUGAAUGGUUCGUGAAGGUGAGCAAAUCUAAAUUACUUCAGACAAAGACUCUCUUUCAUUCGUCCAUUCAUUGCUCAUGAUCGCUGUCAACUCCUUAAUGGAUUCUUUAAAGGAAUCACAAUCAGGUUCUGGAGUGACACAAACAUGAUUGAUCUUCUUUUUAUUAUACUUCGAAUAAUUACUGAAAUCGUCAAUGAAAUCAUCAUCAAAGCAUGGAAGUGUAUAGGGUAGAGGGUUCUCUCUUAGCUCAUCUGAUUGAGGUGAGGAUGUCUCAGGUUGUGCAUUUGUUUCGGCCUCAGCCGAAGAUACUUCCUCAAAACACGGCUCUAGUUCUACGCGGAGGGGUUCUAAGGGGGGGGGGUAUUCUCUAGAAUGCGAUCUAGCAGAGCUUCUCCAUCCUCUGCAGUUUUGUGUGUGAAUGAUCCUCCCACGGACGUAUCAAGCAUUAGGGCAGAUUCCUUGUUAAGCCCUAACCAAAAGUGUUGUAAUAGCACAUGGUUGGGGAUAGACAAGUUUGGGCCAGAUUUGGUCAAAGUUGUGAAUCUGUCCCAAGCUGCUCCUAGGGAUUCCUUCUCUUCUUGAUGGAAGUUGAGAAUCUCUUGACGUAGGGUACCAAUUCAGGAUAAGGGGUAGAAUGCUAGGCAGAAUUUGUUUCGCAAUUCUUCCCAAUCGGCAGCUACCUUCCCUACGUUCUGGGUGUACCAUUGCCUCGCCCUCUCAUUAAGAUAAAAGGGAAACAUUUCCACCGCAUUGUCUCGGGUGACAUGCCAGCAAUGGUGAGGCAUGCACAGAGCUGCUCAAAUUCCCUCAAGUGGUGAUAUGGGUUUUCGUAAUCUAAGCCUGAGAAGGAUUGUUCCCGAACCAUGGCUAUAAAAGUCGGCCGGAGUUCGUAACUCGAAGUUGUGAUGGGCUUCGUGGAUUGUGGAGGUGUGGCGAACUUGUCUUGGGAGCAGACAUAUCGGAGAUGGUAGGUUGCACCAUCGGAACAAAGUAAGAAAAGAAAGGUAAAAACAAAAGAUACACGGGCAACUAGGUUCGGAGACUAAGACGACAACUGUUCCCCGGCAACGGCGCCAGAAAUUCUUGUUGGCGCUUCUUAGCGACAGCAGAGAAAACCACAAGCGCAUGGAAGUACCGUUGUAGCACUUCACCCAGAAGUACUCAGGGUAUCGUAUUUAUCCAUAGGGAAUGGCAAAAUUUCACUUACACUCUAAACUAAUCACCCUAGAAGAUAGAAGGGAGGAGAACACGGCUGAGAGGAUACACUAAAGUGAUGAACCACUAAGUGGAAAGACCUUCCCACUACUUGCUUGCUUCAGGCCCACUAAGAGUCCUACGUAACUAGGCGAUCCCAGUAUCAGCACUAUGAUACGACUGAUUGUUGGGGAUUACUACGGAUGCCAGAUGCUGUCACUACAAAGACACCUAACCCUCUGCCCGAAAGGCGUACCACAUACGAAUGUAGACCGCAACUUAGACACCACGUCUACAAAGGUGACUACUGCUCUAGCGAUGCGUAGGAUUAUCCAUCUCUAUCAGGAGUCCUCUUACUAGAGCACCCGUUUUAAGAACGAGCGAUGAUCCCACAAGCAAAUAGCUUUAUGAAAGUAAUUCACUUAAUAAAUCAAAACUGAAAUGUAACACAGACCUCUUACUUCAAGUAGUAAGAACGAAUGUAUAGGUUCAAGAAGGAGCGAGAGCCGACAGGUCUGGCACUUCGUCCACCCUAGAGUAGAACUUGCGUCGACCCCGCUUCUACACUUCAACUCUUGCCUCUCUCUCUAGCCUAAGUCUAGAAUAGCUAGAGCUAAACUAAUAAAAAAUAAAGGACCACUCCUUCUAUUUUCUUGUAUCUUGAUAUAUUUAAAUGGAGGAAUGGGGUUCUCAAUUUAUAGCUCCAUAAGACGGUUCAGGGCGAUCUAAAUUUGGUAGUAGGUGAAACCGUCUUAUGCAUGCCGCCAUGCAACCGCCUGAAAAAGGUGGGACCGAGUUGCUGCCAUGGGAGGUGCGCCCGCACCAGGGUGUGGCCGCACCACUGGUGGCCCCCCUAGGCCACCGUCUUCGCGUGGUCAGUUCAUCUCUAGGCCCUGAUCCUUCCCGUGGUUACGGAUGGAUCCAGUUCGGUGUUUUGGUGGGCUUUUCCAUUUAAUCUUGAUUUGCGCCUUUUCUAAAAAUGCUUUCUUGAAGUGCGCUUUCUCGUGUCUUUUGCGCCUUUCCACGUGUCAUACCUGAAAUUGAUAUUUACAACAAAGCUUGUGGAAAGGUUAGAUAAAAGCCCUAUCAUCUAUUUAUUUUAUUUAUAAAAAUUAUGUUUAUAAUUAUAAGAUAAGAAGUGCCAACAACCAUAAUGUCAUCAAGUAGCAAAAACUAACUAAUUACAUUGGGUCUAGGUACCCAGAUGAGGCUCACAAGCCUUGGUCACCACCAUCACGCUCUCCAUCCUCACCUCCUUCAUUGCCGUCUACACAAGCUUCUAGGGGAAGCACCUCUAGCUCGAACAAGGUCGCCAACCUUUCACCAGGUCCCUCAGCAUCAUCGAUUAGGGAACGAAGCCUCUCCUUGUUUUUAGCAUCGGUCUUGGUAAUGUCGGAGACGAAGCCGUGGGACACCACCUCCAUGUCAUAGGAGAAGCCACAGCAGAUGACCGCCAGAGCUCGCUUCACACCAAUAUGUAGGGCAUCCCAGACUCGGUCCCUCAUGGUCGCUCCUAGGUAGCACAACUGAUCGACAAGGGCAUCACUCGAGCCGCUUGCCCCACCUCAUUGGCAGGUGGUCUAAGCUCCAAGCAGAUCAUCCUUAAGCUCUAAAAAAUAGCACCAAAGUUAGUUACCAAAAACAAACACGUUAGAAAAACAAGUGUGAGGAAUAGGCACUCACCACGUAUACGCUCCUAGAGGGUCGUGUUCUCACCAACCAAAUCGGUGUUCUCCUUCUCGAUCUCCUUGACGGAGCGAGCCACCUCUGUCUUCUCGACCCGCAGGUCCUCGAUCAGCUUCCCUAACAAGAUGAUGGCCUCCUCCUUCUCUUGUAGAACUUUCUUUAGAUGAUCGACAUCGUCGGCUAGAGCAUGGGAGUGUGUCUUCUCCUUCUCAAGCUCCUCAUGGGCCUUCUUCUCCUUCUCCUCAGUGACACCUUUUGCGCUUGCGUAGUCUAGGAGAAGGGCCUUUACCCCGGCAUAGCUCUCUUUGGCGGUGGCCAGGUCGGUCUCGAGCUUCCUGAUGUGCUCGGUGAGCAAGACCAUGUUGUCUUCCUCCGCCCUCUUGUCCUCUUUGGCUUUCGUGGUUUCCUCCUUGGCCUAGGUGUUGACGGUCCUUAAGUAUUAAAUUUAAUCAUCAACUAACCAUGGAAAAGGAUCAAUAUGCUCCAAACAUCUAGAAUUAGGGUUUUAUCUGACAGAAUUCCCCGAGCUUUGGUGUUUGUCUAUUUCUGCAGGGGGGUAUCAGAAAAUAUGGAGAGAAGGCCCACAUGUCAUGUUUACAACGAGAUAAUUACGUGUCGUGCAAUUUUCAUUAAUCUAGAAGAGUCCAGAAGCCACAGGGACGAACGGGAGACCGGACGGGCUCGGGGGCAGGGCGCCGGCCCUCCCCCCUUGGGCGCCCGCCCUAGCCUCGGGGCCAACCACAACCAACCUCUCGGAUUAUGCUCCACCGACCUAAAGGAUCAAGGAAAACCGUGUGAUCAAUGUCGGUUUGAUCCGAUGGCCCAAAUUCACUUGAGGGGACUAUAUAAUCAAGGCCUCUCCACCCCAAGGGGAGGGAGUAAAAAUCAUUAUCAGAGGAAGCCAUCAAAGUUAGGGUUUUAGAUCUUCUCUCCCACAAAGAAUUAGAAUUAGCUACUCCCUAAUCCUUCAAGUUUAGAGAAUUGAUUAGAUACAAUUAGAGAAGUAGAGCCUAGCGCUCUGGAUUCGGAUCUUUGUUAAUAAAGAUUGGUAUUAUUUCAUAUCUUUCUCUACUACUUUAUUAUAAUUGCAUUAUGUCUCUAUUUAUUAUGCUCUUAGUUUGUUCUAGUUCUAUAUUUGAUAUAGUUAUGAUUGACAAUGAGUUUAUGUAUAAGUUUGCAAAGCUCUUAGCUCUUAACACGUGGAAGUUAAGUGGUAGAUCACAUGUAGGCGUGGUGCUUAGAUGUUAUUUACCUGCAAAUGUAUCCUAUUGGCCGGGCCGUGUGGUAGUUCGUGAUAGUGACAGCUUUGUUGAUUCUUAUAUAGUCCACCCUCCAUUGAUAGGACAGGCAGAAUUUGUAUUGCGGAGUAAGUCUUGCGAUGCUCUGAUUUACUUUAGCAAUGUUCCUUAUACAUGAAUGAAGAGUCUUUUAUGCUAUAUAUGAUCUUGUAGAUAACUAGAGUAGAUUCUGACUUAGUAGAUAGUACAUAACUUAGAAUCCAUUCUCUAGCUAAUCCGACGUCACCUUACAUAUAUGAGGAGUAGUCUAUUUUCUAAUCGUUGUGUUAUUUACCCAUGAGCUUAUAUUUCAUUAUCAUUAUUAUGAUGGCUUACCCCCUGCCAAAAUAAGUGACUGUGUGAUGAGUUCCUCAUUAGUAAUCAUGUUCUUGCAAGUUUAUCUCUAGUCUAUGCCUUGAUAGAUUUUAUUUAUCUCCACCGUUCUCUUAAGAAAAAAUAUAAAUAACGAUAUCCGGAAUACUUUUCCUGGUGAAAUGCUACAAUGAGGUAUUUUAUCUGUGCGCUUGUGGAUAGAAUAGAUUAUUUUCUAUAGAGCCUUUACAUUCAUAAAUACCUUUGUACACUCUAGCACCAGGCUGGGGAUGACAACCUAGUAUCCAAGUGGUGUUAGUAAGUGUCAACAAGCAUUUCUGGUGCUGUUGUCGGGGAGACGGUGAGGAAAGUCAGGAAGUUAGUCAAGGUUAUUCACAUAAAAUAUUAGAUUAGACUAUAGAGAAAAAAUUGCAUAAAACAGCUACUAAGUGAGAAAUCAUAACAAGGCACCUGUGCUUUGGCAGGUUCAUGUUGUUGUUUUUCUAUGUUUAUAUUUUUAUACUGGGUAUAUCAGGAUUGACUUUGGUACAUUCAACUCUUCAUCAUCAGAACCAAAGCAAUCAAGAAAGAAAGAAGCUAGCUACCAAUUGCUGAAGCUAUGACACAGAAGACCCUACAAGAAUUCUCUGCUCCAAGCCUUGAGAACAUUCCAACUGGUCCAAGAUUUGCAGUAGAAGAAGGAGCACCUGAGUUCGAUCUCAAGUCAAGCCUCAUCAAUUUGGUACAAGCUACACAAUUCAGUGGAAAGGCACAUGAAGAUGCUAGUGCACACUUGCAUAAUUUCUUAGAGAUUGGAAGCACAAUCCACAUCAGCGGAGUCGACAAAGAUGUCAUACUGCUUUGCCUUUUUCCAUUCUCACUAGAAGGGAAAGCAAGGAAGUGGUUCUACAUUCAUCAAGAUAACAUCAACAACUGGACGAACUUGUCAGAUGCCUUUCUAUCAAAGUUUUUCCCAAUGGGCAAGACAACUGCCUUAAGAGGAAAUAUUGUCAUUUUCCAACAGCAGAAGACAUAAACCAUUCCAGAGGCAUGGGAGCGUUUUCAAGGAUACAUAUCACAUUGUCCUCACCAUAGAAUGGCCAGAUGGUUACUUAUGCAGACCUUCUACCAUGGCUUAACCUAGAAGGCUCGUGAGUGCCUAGAUGCAUCUGCUAAGGGAUCAAUCUUAGAGCUUACAAUUGGAAAAGCAGAGAUACUUUUGGAUAAGAUAGCAGAAAACCAAAGCUGGUUCCAAGAUAAAGCUCAACAAUGUCAUCAAACUGAAGAAAUACCAGAAGAAGUAAACACAUUAUCAACCAAGAUGGAAAAUUUGCUCCAUUUGAUUGACCAGAGGGCCAAGUUCAAAGAAGAUCAAAGGGCCAUUGAGACAACAUACAAAUAUCAACCUACCUCGAGUCAAGCCAAUAACAAAGGUAUGAAUUUAGGUAAUACUUUCAAGCAACUUUCAUUAAAAGAGAUAAUUGCUCAACAAACAAAAACUAACGAUGAAGUUAAACAAAGGCUAGACACAAAAGAAUCAUCUCUAAAAGAUAUACACAAUAAAAUGGAUUUUCUAUUAACUACCUUUGAUGAGCCAAACACUCUUAAUAAAAGGGUAGAGCUUAAAUUAAUAAAGCUAGCUACUGCAUUGCCUGUUGCCACUAACAUUGAGCAGGUAAAGAACAUAACUACUAGAGGAGGCAAAGCCACCAGGGAUCCCCCAUAUCCAAAAGAGAAACAAAGAACAUCAGCACCAGUGCAACCAACAGUGAUAGAAGAAGAAAGCCCAGUUGAAGCAGAAAAUCUACUACAACCACCAAGAACUGGAGAAAUGAGGAAAGAUUUUUACGACACCAACUAUUUGCCAUUUCCCAGAAGAAACAGAGGACUGCAGUCGGAUGAGCAGUUUGGUAAGUUUGUAGAGGUCAUUCAGAAAUUAUACGUCAACAUACCUCUGCUUGAUGCCAUACAGGUACCUACAUAUGCAAAGUACAUCAGAGAUAUUCUUAACAAGAAGAGACCACUGCCCACCACUGAGGUUAUCAAGCUGACAGAAGAAUGUAGUGCGGCCAUCCUCAACAAACCACCAAGGAAGAAGAAGGAUCACGGAUGUCCCACCAUUGAUUGCUCGAUCGGAAACCAACACUUCAACAAUGCACUUUGGGAUCUCGGAGCAAGUGUCAGUGUGAUGCCAGCAUCAGUCUACGAGAAGCUUGAGCAUACGACCCUAGAACCAACAUCAAUGUGCCUACAUCUAGUAGAUCAAUCUGUUCGACACCCGUUGGGCAUCGCCGAAAACAUUCCAGUCAAGAUAAGAGAUUUCCUUGUGCCAGUAGACUUCGUGGUACUGGACAUGAGUCCUGACUCAACAGUAUCCAUCAUCCUUGGAAGGCCAUUUCUGAGCACUGCGAAUGCCCACAUUGAUGUCGGGAAGGGAGAAAUCAAGUUCAACAUAAACGGACAAGAAGAACACUUCACAUUCAAGCCUAGAACAGAGAGAGACUCUACAGUGAAGGAAGUUCAUAAAGAACAACCACUGGAGACACCAUCUCCGGAGGAAGGUAAUUCAGAAGAUUAAAAAGAUUUGGAGGUCCAGCUUGGGGGACCUAAAAAUCCCAAACCCUCGCCUAGAUGUAAAUCGGUAUUUAUCCGCAUCAUUGAUUCUCUCAUAUUUAAUUCUUGCAUUAGUCAAAUUUAUUCAUAGCAUUAUAAUAAUCAAAAGCCCCAUAUAAAUUAUAUUUGUGGUGUGUGACAACCCAUAUUUAUUAAUUAUUGUGGAGACACAAAAAUAUUUUUCAUUAUCAUUUCAAAUAAGUUUCAAUUCUCAUAGAUUUUCCUGCAUUAUAUUUAAUUAUAGCAACCUUCUGGAAGCAUGGCCCACACUCCUUGGGUCCCACAUGUCAUACACCACACCUCGCAUACAUCCCAUCACAUUAUUUGAUCCACCAACAUAUCUCCACUCACCAGCACUUUUCACUGACCAACCACUACCCAUGAAUUAUUUUUUGGCUUAAAGAUUAAGCAAAGGAGGGAAUAGAAAAGUUGCAGCCAGGAUGGGCACCAAAGGUGGGUGCCCGCCCACCUACAGAGGGCGCCCGCCCUGUCCCCCCUUCCUCCUAUAAAUUGCCACCUCGUGCCUCCAUCUCCAUCACACAAGCCUCCCAGAAAACCACGCAAGUUUCAGUUUCCAGAAAAGGAGCUCUUGUAGUGAAGAAAGAAGGAGAGUAGAGAGGAAGAGAAGAGUGGAAGAGAGGUUGGUAGUCUCUGAUUGAGAGAGUGAGGUUCACCUAGUAAGUAGUGACCCCGCUGUCUAGAGCGGAACUAAAAGUUGUUUAGGGGGAGGUGCUGCCAAAAUAAAAAAACUUGUCUUGAACGACUAACCCCUGGACUACUGACAUUUCGAACAGCUCACCACUAACAUUUUUCUCUCACACAUUUUCCACUAGUUGUGUGUGUCAACUUUUGUCUACAGGAUGUUCAAGAAGGUGAAGAAUGUAGGGAAGAUCCUCAAGAACAUAGGUACACGGAGUUCAUCUCGACACUCCUCGCACCAGUCAGAGAUGAGCUUCGACCCGACACCCCCGCAAGCUCCGUCAUCUUCAUCUGAUCCGCAAGUCAAGGUCCUCCUCAAGACAGGAGACCUUGGACUGAAGACCCGCCGGGAGAAGGAAGUUUACUAGCGGCUAUAGAAUAAGGAUUUAAUUCACACCCCCACUCUUGAUCCUAUCUUGCUACAAGAAAUAGGUAUGGACACUGAAUUUGACUUAAUUUUCCAGAUGGUGGGAUGGACAAAUUUUUGGAACAUAACUGAGCUGGGUUCUCGUAUUCUCACCCUUGAAUUUCUUUGCACUUUACAAUAUUAUGAGGGGGGAAUUGCUUUUCGGAUGUUCAAACAGGAUAUUAUGUUGUCUUGGAGAGAACUGAGUGACCAUCUCGGUUUCUCUUCAAGACGCAUCUUGGACAUUGACUCCGACUUACCCAAUUUUGAGAGACACCAGUUCUGGAGAGAGAUAUCUAGAGAUGAGUUUUAUAGCCAAGCCCGAACCAGCGACGUGGAACACCCCACUCUUAGGAUGUUCCACAAAUGGCUCGGGUACAAUCUUUUCCAUCGUGAUGAAAUUAGAAAAGUAAGAAUAGGAGAUUUACAACUUCUAUAUGCUGCUAUAAAUAAAGUACCCACUUCACUUGUUACACUUUUGAUUUCUCAUUGGCUUAGUGUUGACGGUCCUUAAGUAUCAAAUUUAAUUAUUAAAUAAACAAAGAAAAGGAUAUAAAUGAAAUCAACAUCUAGACUUAGGGUUUUAUCUGACAAAAUUCCACGAGUUUUGGUGUUUGUCUACUUCUGCAGGGGGUUAUCAGGAAAUACGGAAGAAAGGCCCACACGUCGGGAUUACAUAGAGAUAUCAACGUGCCACGCAAUUAUCUUACAUCUAGAAGACUCCAGAAGCCACGGGAAGGAAGCGGAGGCCGAACCGGGCCAGGCACUGGGCACCCGCCCAAUUGACCUGGGUGCCCGCCCCCUCACAGAGUUGGAUGAGGACUCUCUUUCGGGAUCAAUCGCCACCGACCUAAAGGAUCAAGGAUAACCGUUCAAUCAAUGUCGGUUUGAUCCAACGACCCAUAUUCACUUGAAGGGACUAUAAAACCAGACCCCCUAGCCCCUGGAGGAGAGAGCCUCUCAUCCCUAAUUCAUUAUUCUUCAAGGGAGAAGAAGCCUUUGAUCAAGAUUAGAGCCACCACAUCAAUUAGAUAUCUAGAUUAGCAUAGCUACAUAGGAUUAGAACUAGAAGGAGUCAAUCUUCGAUUGGUUUCCGGAUCUGUCAAGAGGAUUCUUGGUAAUUCUCUAAUUGUGCUUCUAAUUGUUCUUCUAAUCAUCUUUGUUCUUCAAUAUUAUGAAUAUGACUUUGUUCUACUUCAGUAUAUUGCUUAUGACUUUGCUCUACUUGCUUAUAUUCAAGAUUAUAUUGUUCUUAGUUUAUCAUAGUUAUGUACUUGUCUUAGUUAGAUUGGAUCUAUAUACAUGCUUAGGAUCGUAUAGCGUUUAUCCAUCGGAUCCAUGGGUAAAUGAUAGAUAUUGUGUAGGCAUGGUGCUUAUACCGUAUUUAUCUGCGAUUGUACCCAAUAUGCCAGAUCGUGGGGUAGUUCGUGAUAGUGACAGCUUCAUUGAUUCUUAUAUAGUCCCCCUCUCGUGUAUUGGGCUGGCAGAGCAACAUUAUUACAGGGGAGUGAUUGCUAUGUUUCUCAUUUACCUUGCUAAUAUCACUAUGCAUGGGAGUAGUCUUGUCUUGCAAUGAUUACUAAGUAUGCUUGCACUAACUAUGAUAAUGCUAGACUGUACAGUUAAGAAUAACUUAGGAAAUAUUCUUGUAGUUCGUUCUAAUUCCAUGCUAAUGACUUUCUAGAGUAUCUAAUUGAGGUGCUUAUCAUAUUUAUAUGUGGCUAAGUUAUGAUCAGAUUAAUUAUCUUUGUCACUAUUCAUUACUUUAUAUAUCCUUUAUGUGACACUUAUCCCUGUAUGAAAGAGUUAGAUAAUUGUUCUCAGUUAUACAUGCAAUGAUAGAUACUCAAUCUCAUAUUCUAUUCUGUAAUCAAUAUUGAUGGUUGCUAAUCCCUUCCCAGUGGUAAAAAUAUAAAUAACGAUACCUGGAAUACUUCUCGGUUAAAAUGCUACAUCGGUAUUAAUCUGUGCGCUUGCAGAUCCCAUUCAUUAUUUAUUUAGAAGAGCAAUUGCAUAUUUCAAUACCGCGUCUCUCAUGUCAUGCUGGGGAUGACAACUUGGCUUAAGUGGUGUGAGGGAUAGGUUUGGCAUUUUUGGCACCGUUAUCAGAUUUAGAAAACUAAGUCUACUUUUGGUAAUGAUGUUAAGAAUACCCAACAAGCAUUUUUGGCGCCGUUGCCGGGGAAGGUUGAUUACUAAUCAGGAAUGGAUAUAGAUUUUUGAGUUAUCAUUCGCAUCACUAAUAUGAUUGAGCUUAUCAAUUCUCUCAUACAGUUUUACCCUGAUAUAUUUUAUUUUUAUCUUAUGGAGGGGAAUGUAUGAAUAGAAGACAUCUUCUAGGAAAUUUUGUUGACAAUCCCGAAGCGUUAUUGAGAAAAACUAGAGCCAAGCUCAAGAAGAGAUCAUCAACACUUCAGCAAGAAGCUUCAUCCAAUCAAGAAGAUCACCAGAACUUGUCUUCUGAGUUCGAAGCUGUGGCGAACAAAUCAAUCCACGAGUUCUCAGCUCCCACUACGGACAACAUCCGCACUGGACCUGCUGCAGAGAUCGACGGCAACUUUGAGCUCAAGCCUGGACUUAUCAACAUGGUGCAAUCCAACCAGUUCUAUGGGAUGGCACACGAAGAUGCUAGUGCUCAUCUCCAACACUUCCUGGAGAUAUGCAGCACAUUCACCAUAUCAGGAGUCCCGAAUGAUGCUAUACUACUUCGCCUCUUCCCAUUCUCACUGUUAGGGAGAGCGAAGCAAUGGUUCUACGCUACAAAGGAGAAGAAUACUAUGUGGGCACUCUGCUCAACAAACUUCCUGGCUAAGUUCUUUCCCAUGCGCAAGACCAAUGCUCUCCGUGGGAAGAUUACAAGUUUUUAGCAACAAAAUGAUGAAUCUGUUCCAGAAGCAUGGGAGCGCUUUCAAGACUACAUCCUAGAAUGUCCCCAUCAUGGAAUGGAGAGUUGGCUAUUGAUGCAGACAUUUUAUCAUGGACUCGGCAACAGUGCCCGAGAAACCAUGGAUGCUGAAGCUGGAGGAGCAUUCCUAUCACUUACUAUAUCACAAGCCACAGCUCUUGUGGAGAAGAUGGCGUCCAACCAAGGCUGGAAUGAAGAGAGGACCCAGACACGCAAGAAAGGUGGAGGUAUGUAUCAGCUCAAGGAGGUAGACAUGCUGUCUGCAAAGCUAGACCUGCUCAUGAAGAAGCUUGACAAUAGAGCAGGAGAUAAGAAAGAAGUUAUGCACAUCUACGACUCUGACAUGACUUGUGAGGAGUGUGGAGAUACUGGACACUCUGGCAAUCACUACCCUGAGAUGCUUGAGGAUGUAAACUACAUCAACAACAACAACAAUAACAACUACAACCGUCCUCAACAAAAUCAAGGUCGGAAUCAACAGAGGCCUAACUACUCAGGUAAUUAUCAAGGUAAUAAUUCUUACAACAAUAACAAUAAUUUUCCACCUCUGAGAGAGUUAGUGUCUAAUCAAGAAAAGCUAAUGGAUAACCUAUCUAAGAAAUUGGCAUCAAAUGAUAAAAUGCUAGAAAAUAUAAAUAAUAGAAUGGAUAAUUUCUCUACUGCCAUCAAGAAUCAAAUUAGCUUUAAUAAAAUCAUUGAAUCUCAGUUAAAUCAAAUAGCUGUUGCUGUUCUUGCUACUAACCCCGGUAUACCAUCACAACUAGAAGGAUUAGAAUCUGCAAAUCUUGUAGACAUGUUUGAUGCAGGUAAUUGGAGUAACCCCGUCACUGAAUUCACUACUGACCUUCUGCCGGUCAAGAGAGGCGAUCUAGGACGCCCCGUCAUCCCGGUCUCUAUCGGCAUGGUGGACUUCCCAGAAGCACUCUGCGACUUUGGCUCUAGUGUCAACAUUAUGCCCAGGGUACUCUAUGAAAAAUUCUUUACGUAUCCUUUAUUAAAAACAACCAUGUGUUUGCAGUUUGCAGAUCAGACGAUAAGUUUUCCAAAAGGAAUAUUGAAGAACCUUUGUGUCCGAGUUGGUACCUUGUAUGCCCCAGCAGACUUCGUGGUGAUAGAGACCGGUAAUGAUGAGAGGGCACCCAUCAUCUGAGGGAGGCCAUUCUUGAACACCUUAGGAGCUGUCAUCUAUGCUAGUGCUACCAAGAUCAGUUUCUACAUCAAAGGGAGGAAGGAGACGUUUUCCUUCAGGAACAAGACUACACAAAUCCCAGAUCAAUCCAGAUGUGAACCAAGGAAGAGGACCAAUAGGAGGAACAGGAACAAGCAAGUGUGGACCGAGUCAGCUAAGAUGGUCACUGCAAUUCAAGGAGGUCAAGAUCAACAACUUAAGUCACCAUUUUUGACCAAAAAGGACGACCCAGGAAUGCCAAGCAUCAAUUGCUCCAUAAAUGGAUACAACUUCUACAAGAUGACUUGCGACACUGGAUCGGGCGUCAACAUAAUGGCCGCAGUCAGCUAUCGGCUCUUGUUCGGAACCAUGCCCCUAAAACCAACAUACAUUCAGCUCCAGAUGGCAGAUCAGACGUUUCGAGAAGUAAAAGGAACAGUAACUGAUGUUCCAGUCAAAAUAGACGAUCAUUUUGUCUACACAGACUUUCAGGUUAUUGACAUGUGAGAAGACGAAUACGAUCCACCCAUCAUCCUUGGAAGACCGUUCCUCAGCACCGUUAAAGCAAUCAUCUACAUUGGAACUCGAGAAGUCCAUAUGCACUUCCCCUCAGAGAAGGUACGCCGCUAUUUUACUGACCCUAACUAUAUCGUUGAAGAAUCUAAGCAGGUUAGAAAGUGACGCAACCACAACCACAGGAGGCAGAUUUUUAAGGACGGAUGGGCAGACUACGAAGGAGAAGUGGUAAGGUCAGAAGACGUAGAGUUUAAACAGAACUAUCCUGAGGAGACCGUAGCACCAAGUCAGCUGUGGAAAGAGAAGAUAACUAUACAUGAAGAGGAGGCGCUGCCGGAAGUACCAACUACGCUACCCAACGAAUCCCAAGACAACUAAAGAAAACGGAGAGUCCCGUUCGGAGGACUUAAAAACACCAAACGCCUUGCUAAGAGGUAAACUUGGUAGUUAUCCUUUCCCUUUCAAUUAUUUUACUUAAUUAGUUAUAAUCAUACUAUCCUAAAAAGAAAAUAAAAAUGUGAAAAAUAGUAAGCCCCAUGUGAGUAUACGAGUGGCAUGAAACCCAUAAGUACAUUCACUAUGGUGGCAUAAAAAUAAAAUAAAAAUUUAUUUUCUACUUUAUAAAAUGAAAAUAUAAAAAUAGAGAGUAAUAAUUAUUAAGGAGUCUCAACAUGAUAAAGGCUAGAUAUUUAUGCUAACACUUAAUGAGUUCCACACGCUUUGUUGUCUAUUUGAGCUCCACAAAAUUUAAGAAUCGAGAGGGCUAGC